This 72-nucleotide transfer RNA is filed under the name Camelus bactrianus (Bactrian camel). It matches the Rfam family "tRNA". Rfam says of the family: Transfer RNA (tRNA) molecules are approximately 80 nucleotides in length. Their secondary structure includes four short double-helical elements and three loops (D, anti-codon, and T loops). The record is from Rfam by way of RNAcentral. RNAcentral also lists the same sequence under 2 other names. Lineage: Eukaryota; Metazoa; Chordata; Mammalia; Artiodactyla; Camelidae.
GUGGAUAUAGCUCAGUGGUAGAGUGCAUGCUUAGCAAGCAUGAGGUCCUGGGUUCAAUCCCCAGUACCUCCA